Molecule: ribosomal RNA, 274 nt
Filed under: uncultured bacterium
Lineage: Bacteria
Description: partial 16S ribosomal RNA
Rfam family: Bacterial small subunit ribosomal RNA
Source: RNAcentral
AGACGGAGGGGGCUAGCGUUGUUCGGAAUUACUGGGCGUAAAGCGCGCGUAGGCGGUUUGCCAAGUCAGGCGUGAAAUCCCCGGGCUCAACCUGGGAACUGCGUUUGAUACUGGCAGACUAGAGGCCGGGAGAGGGUAGUGGAAUUCCCAGUGUAGAGGUGAAAUUCGUAGAUAUUGGGAAGAACACCGGUGGCGAAGGCGGCUACCUGGACCAAUAUUGACGCUGAGGUGCGAAAGCGUGGGGAGCAAACAGGAUUAGAUACCCUAGUAGUCC